RNAcentral lists this unclassified non-coding RNA (233 nucleotides) under plant metagenome. Its description in RNAcentral is "partial contains small subunit ribosomal RNA, internal transcribed spacer 1, and 5.8S ribosomal RNA". The record is from RNAcentral.
UUUCCGUAGGUGAACCUGCGGAAGGAUCCUUAUUGGAUUUUGAAACUUCAGGCUGCUGCUGGCUCUCCUCGGAGGGCAUGUGCACGCUUGUUGUCCAUUAUUUCUCCCACUGUGCACAAAUUGUAGACCUUUCAGUAGGCCUAUGUUGUUUUUCACAAUCUCUGAAUGUAAUAGAAUGGUUUUGAAUCUUGGGAAAUACAAUACAACUUUCAGCAACGGAUCUCUUGGCUCUC